CUGUCGGCAACCCAAAUUGUUGAAGUUCUUAGCACUCCGAGCUGUAAGCACACCAAACAAAGCCGCACAUGUCCGUUAUGAAGUGUGGUAUGUAUGAACAGGGUAACCCAGUUCUUCAUGGAGAUGCUCUGCCAGAAGUACUGGAGGAAUAUCAUAAAUGACCUCCUUGAACAAAUAGCUCUGAAGUCUUGCUCUCUUACAACUUCUCUGAAAAGGACACCUGAAAGACAAAUUUAUUGAACGGCAUCAGACAACAUGUUUGCAAAAGAGGUUCAGACAUUUCACACCAGCAAAAGUCACAUUUUUAAAGGAUGCAAUUGAUGACUUCUUAAAGAAUGUAUUGAAAUCAGCCUUGGAUGUUCUCAUAGCUGCUGUAAAUUUUGUGCAUUCUUUUUCCAUCCAGGUAAUGACUUCCAGUACCAAAUUUAACCAAAAUAAAUUCUAAUGAGAAAAUCAGGUUAAUAAUCUAAGAAGAAAGUACUUACUUUUUAAAAUUGAUAUUAUCCAAAAAUGUAUUUGUAACCUUAUGACCAAUGG
Molecule: long non-coding RNA, 537 nt
Organism: Polypterus senegalus (gray bichir)
Lineage: Eukaryota; Metazoa; Chordata; Cladistia; Polypteriformes; Polypteridae
Exons: 2
Source: RefSeq, a predicted model, not a curated record